RNAcentral lists this non-coding RNA (26 nucleotides) under Homo sapiens (human). Lineage: Eukaryota; Metazoa; Chordata; Mammalia; Primates; Hominidae. The record is from RNAcentral.
GUAGAGGUUAAGUGUGAAGGGUUUUC